AGUGAACGCUGGCGGUAGGCCUAACACAUGCAAGUCGAACGGCAGCACAGUAAGAGCUUGCUCUUACGGGUGGCGAGUGGCGGACGGGUGAGGAAUACAUCGGAAUCUACUUUUUCGUGGGGGAUAACGUAGGGAAACUUACUCUAAUACCGCAUCCGACCUACGGGUGAAAGCAGGGGAUCUUCUGACCUUGCGCGAUUGAAUGAGCCGAUGUCGGAUUAGUUAGUUGGCGGGGUAAAGGCCCACCACGGCGACGAUCCGUAGCUGGUCUGAGAGGAUGAUCGGCCACAUUGGAGCUGAGACACGGUCCGGACUCCUACGGGAGGCAGCAGUGGGGAAUAGUAGACAAUGGGCGCAAGCCUGAUCCAGCCAGACCGCGUGGGUGAAGGAGGCCUUCGGGUUGUAAAGCCCUUUUGUUGGGAAAGAAAAGCAGCAGGUUAAUACCCCGCUGUUCUGACGGUACCCAAUGAAUAAGCACCGGCUAACUUCGUG
This 492-nucleotide ribosomal RNA is filed under the name uncultured bacterium. RNAcentral's name for it is "partial 16S ribosomal RNA". It matches the Rfam family "Bacterial small subunit ribosomal RNA", at positions 29 to 507 of the family's 1533-position model. The record is from RNAcentral.